UACGUAGGGUGCGAGCGUUGUCCGGAAUUAUUGGGCGUAAAGAGCUCGUAGGCGGUGUGUCACGUCGUUCGUGAAAACCUGCAGCUUAACUGUGGGCGUGCGGUCGAUACGGGCAUCACUGGAGUUCGGCAGGGGAGACUGGAAUUCCUGGUGUAGCGGUGAAAUGCGCAGAUAUCAGGAAGAACACCGGCGGCGAAGGCGGCCACCUGGACGAUGACUGACGCUGAGACGCGAAAGCGUGGGGAGCAAACAGG
Molecule: ribosomal RNA, 254 nt
Filed under: uncultured bacterium
Lineage: Bacteria
Description: partial 16S ribosomal RNA
Rfam family: Bacterial small subunit ribosomal RNA
Source: RNAcentral